AUGAUGUAUUAUACUCUGCAUCUGAACUGACAAGGAAUGGACUCUUCAGCUCUGACAGCAAAUUUCUCCCUAGAAGUCUGGAAAAGCAGAAAGAGAAGAAUGAAGAAAUGUCUACAAAACUGCUCCUGUCCUUCAGACUACAUAGGACCAAACUCUUGCCUUUCAUCAGUUUUCAGUUUGUACAUUAAUAUAUCCUGGUGAAGUUCCUCAACCAUUUCUGCAACAUUCAAUUUUAAUUUAUAUUUGCCCACAUUCUUUCAUCUGUGAUUUGGACACAUGCAGGCUAUUGAAUAUAAUGGAUACAAAUCUCUCACUGAUUCCUUUGAGCUAUUUCAUAGUUCUGCUUUCACAGGCAGGAAACAGUCAAGAAAUAAUGAUUCAGUUAUUUCUUAAAUAUUUCACAAUUCUACAUUGAAUAAAGAAAAUGUGAAUUCCUGGAA
This is a long non-coding RNA of Mandrillus leucophaeus (drill), 440 nucleotides long. RefSeq lists it as uncharacterized. The record is from RefSeq and is a predicted model, not a curated record. The transcript has 2 exons. Lineage: Eukaryota; Metazoa; Chordata; Mammalia; Primates; Cercopithecidae.